CUACGGAGGGUGCAAGCGUUGUCCGGAUUUAUUGGGUUUAAAGGGUGUGUAGGCGGUGUAUUAAGUCAGUGGUGAAAGCCUGCGGCUCAACCGUAGAACUGCCAUUGAUACUGACACACUUGAGUAUGGACGAGGUAGGCGGAAUUUAUGGUGUAGCGGUGAAAUGCAUAGAUACCAUAAAGAACACCGAUAGCGAAGGCAGCUUACUAGGCCAUAACUGACGCUGAGGCACGAAAGCGUGGGGAGCGAACAGGAUUAGAAACCCCAGUAGUCC
RNAcentral lists this ribosomal RNA (274 nucleotides) under uncultured bacterium. Its description in RNAcentral is "partial 16S ribosomal RNA". It matches the Rfam family "Bacterial small subunit ribosomal RNA", at positions 523 to 796 of the family's 1533-position model. The record is from RNAcentral.